RNAcentral lists this ribosomal RNA (508 nucleotides) under uncultured bacterium. RNAcentral describes it as "bacterial SSU rRNA". It matches the Rfam family "Bacterial small subunit ribosomal RNA", at positions 28 to 520 of the family's 1533-position model. The record is from RNAcentral.
GAUGAACGCUAGCUACAGGCUUAACACAUGCAAGUCGAGGGGAAACGAUAUUGGAAGCUUGCUUCCGAUAGGCGUCGACCGGCGCACGGGUGAGUAACGCGUAUCCAACCUGCCCAUCACUUGGGGAUAACCUUGCGAAAGUAAGACUAAUACCCAAUGACGUCUCUAGAAGACAUCUGAAAGAGAUUAAAGAUUUAUCGGUGAUGGAUGGGGAUGCGUCUGAUUAGCUUGUUGGCGGGGGUAACGGCCCACCAAGGCGACGAUCAGUAGGGGUUCUGAGAGGAAGGUCCCCCCACAUUGGAACUGAGACACGGUCCAAACUCCUACGGGAGGCAGCAGUGAGGAAUAUUGGUCAAUGGACGAGAGUCUGAACCAGCCAAGUAGCGUGCAGGAAGACGGCCCUAUGGGUUGUAAACUGCUUUUAUAAGGGAAUAAAGUGAGUCUCGUGAGGCUUUUUGCAUGUACCUUAUGAAUAAGGACCGGCUAAUUCCGUGCCAGCAGCCGACGG